RNAcentral lists this ribosomal RNA (253 nucleotides) under uncultured bacterium. Its description in RNAcentral is "partial 16S ribosomal RNA". It matches the Rfam family "Bacterial small subunit ribosomal RNA", at positions 524 to 776 of the family's 1533-position model. The record is from RNAcentral.
UACGUAGGGUGCGAGCAUUGUCCGGAUUUAUUGGGCGUAAAGAGCGUGUAGGCGGCCAGGUAGGUCUGCUGUGAAAACUCGAGGCUCAACCUCGAGACGUCGGCGGAAACCAUCUGGCUAGAGUCCGGAAGAGGCGAGUGGAAUUCCUGGUGUAGCGGUGGAAUGCGCAGAUAUCAGGAGGAACACCAAUAGCGAAGGCAGCUCGCUGGGACGUUACUGACACUGAGGCGCGAAAGCGUGGGGAGCGAACAGG